GGGCCGUUGUGGGGGCCGAGCCCGGCCGCGCGCACAGCUUCUAGUGGCCCGCAAGAUUCCUCCUGGGGCGGCGCUGGGAGCCUCGGGGCUCGGCUUCCUCGACCCCCGCCCCCAGGUUUCCUCUGCAGCCUGAGGUCGGGAAGGACGGACGGAGAGUGGAUCCUCCAGGUGGUGGGAAAAGCUUAACAGCCUGGUGCCAGUUACCCUGCGAUGGGAGAGGGGGCAGCCCCCAUAGAAGCACGGGCUUAUGGGACCCGGGUUCCUUCAGUGCUCACCCACGAAGAAGGGCUCCCAAACGGCCCCACUCGACGGCUCACCGGAGGAUGGUCCUGCGCAGUGGGUGUUUGUUGAACAGAUAAGAGACAACAAAACAGACUAAGAAGAGGCCUGUUCUAUGAACCGGGGAAAGUGAAGGAAUCACAAAGAGCGGCUCGCCUUAGGGCAAUCCUGGGGAAAAGAUGGAGAGGCAUGGAUUUUUCUUGGAUGUGUGCCUCAUCCUGGGGCUCAUCCCUCUGAGCAUCAAAUAUUCAUUGCAAAAGAGGGGGAAAAACUCUGCUGCGGACAAUGCUGGAUGGUCUGAUCUCUCCCUUGGCCAGAAUUAACGGGGCAAUUCCUAACCCCUGUUGGUCCUCAGAAUCACCUGGCCUAUGCACACUCCCGCUAAACCACUGAAGUCCAAUUUCUGGGAGCUCAGCCAGGGAAUGUGUAUUUUUAAACAAGCCCCCUAGGUUACUCUGAUAAGUGCAAAGUCAGAGAGCGCUGCUCUCAUGCACUGAGCCUGAGCACUCUUCUAUUAAUAAAAAAGGAGAGGAGAAUCCUGGGUUGGGUGCCCUUCGCCUUCUGGCGGCAGAAGAGCAGAGCCAGGCUCUAAGCACCUGCACCCACCGCUGGGCUCAGGAGCUGCGCUGGAGAAUAGAAGGGCUAAUUUAGUCAUUCAUGCCUUUUUAGAGCAAAUUACAUGUGGAGAGGGUGGGGCACACUGAAUUUUAUUUUAGCCAAAUGCCCCUUAUCUCCUUAUGCAAUUGAUAUUUUUAUAUUGAACAUUAGAGGAUUGGUCAUUUGUCAUCAAGUCGUCUGUAAUACAGAAAACGAUAAAUACAACCUAACAGUUCAAACAUGACGAGUUAAAUAAAUGAUGGUUAAAAAUAUACGCUGCGAUAAUAUUUAAUUGCUGUUACCACUACGAAGAUAAGUGUCGACUGACAUGGAAAUAUGUUCAGGUCAAACAAAUAAAUGAAAAGGCAGGCCUGGA
This 1252-nucleotide long non-coding RNA is filed under the name Homo sapiens (human). RNAcentral describes it as "PFKP divergent transcript, transcript variant 2 (PFKP-DT)". The record is from RNAcentral. Lineage: Eukaryota; Metazoa; Chordata; Mammalia; Primates; Hominidae.